Molecule: ribosomal RNA, 492 nt
Filed under: uncultured bacterium
Lineage: Bacteria
Description: partial 16S ribosomal RNA
Rfam family: Bacterial small subunit ribosomal RNA
Source: RNAcentral
GAUGAACGCUAGCUACAGGCUUAACACAUGCAAGUCGAGGGGAAACGACAUCGAAAGCUUGCUUUUGAUGGGCGUCGACCGGCGCACGGGUGAGUAACGCGUAUCCAACCUGCCCAUCACUUGGGAAUAACCUUGCGAAAGUAAGACUAAUACCCAAUGACAUCCCACGAAGCCAUCUGAAUGGGAUUAAAGAUUUAUCGGUGAUGGAUGGGGAUGCGUCUGAUUAGCUUGUUGGCGGGGUAACGGCCCACCAAGGCAACGAUCAGUAGGGGUUCUGAGAGGAAGGUCCCCCACAUUGGAACUGAGACACGGUCCAAACUCCUACGGGAGGCAGCAGUGAGGAAUAUUGGUCAAUGGGCGAGAGCCUGAACCAGCCAAGUAGCGUGCAGGAUGACGGCCCUAUGGGUUGUAAACUGCUUUUAUAAGGGAAUAAAGUGGGUCUCGUGAGACUUUUUGCAUGUACCUUAUGAAUAAGGACCGGCUAAUUCCGUG